UGGGGAAUUUUGCACAAUGGGGGAAACCCUGAUGCAGCGACGCCGCGUGAUUUAGAAGGCCUUCGGGUUGUAAAAAUCUUUUCUAUGGGAAGAAAAUGACAGUACCAUAGGAAUAAGGACCGGCUAAUUACGUGCCAGCAGCCGCGGUAAUACGUAAGGUCCGAGCGUUGUCCGGAAUCAUUGGGCGUAAAGGGUACGUAGGCGGGUAAGCAAGUUAGAAGUGAAAUCCUGUAGCUCAACUACAGUAAGCUUUUAAAACUGCUCAUCUUGAGAUAUGGAAGGGAAAGUGGAAUUCCUAGUGUAGCGGUGAAAUGCGCAGAUAUUAGGAGGAAUACCGGUGGCGAAGGCGACUUUCUGGCCAUAAUCUGACGCUGAGGUAUGAAAGCGUGGGUAGCAAACAGG
Molecule: ribosomal RNA, 402 nt
Filed under: Verrucomicrobiota bacterium
Lineage: Bacteria; Pseudomonadati; Verrucomicrobiota
Description: Verrucomicrobia bacterium partial 16S ribosomal RNA
Rfam family: Bacterial small subunit ribosomal RNA
Source: RNAcentral